UACCAGCACCCCGAGCGGUCGGGACGUUUAUUGGGCCUAAAGCAUCCGUAGCCGGUUCUACAAGUCUUCCGUUAAAUCCAACUGCUUAACAGGUGGGCUGCGGAAGAUACUAUAGAGCUAGGAGGCGGGAGAGGCAAGCGGUACUCGAUGGGUAGGGGUAAAAUCCGUUGAUCCAUUGAAGACCACCAGUGGCGAAGGCGGCUUGCCAGAAUGCGCUCGACGGUGAGGGAUGAAAGCUGGGGGAGCAAACCGG
This 253-nucleotide ribosomal RNA is filed under the name uncultured bacterium. Its description in RNAcentral is "partial 16S ribosomal RNA". It matches the Rfam family "Archaeal small subunit ribosomal RNA", at positions 474 to 727 of the family's 1478-position model. The record is from RNAcentral.